GAGCUUUUUCUGCUGCUUCAUCUACCUCUGUGUUUUGCUCAGAUCUCUAAAUUGACUCAGCCCCAGGUAAGAUCAGAUCCUUCUCCUAUGAUCUAGACCUUCAGGUUUCCCAGUGAGGGUAUGUGUUCAGGGGCAGAUGCUCCCCCUUUUUCACUUUCAAAGCUUGGCACUUACAGUAUUUGGGUUGUUUUCCUGGUCCUGCAGGAGCAAUCCACUUUUUUCAGAAGGUCUGUGGGUUUUCUUGACUUUCGUGAAUUACUCCUGCAGUAGUUCUGGAGCAAAAAUUCAUGAUGCAAGUCUCCACACACUGCUCUCUAUCUGAGUGGGAGCUGGAAUCUAGUCCUGCUUCCCAUCUGCCAUUUUUCCCUCAGAGCUUGUUUUUUAAAUUUCUUUAAGUUGGUUUUUACCUUUCUCUGGUGCUUCCUUGAGUAGCUUAAUAAUUAACUUUCUGAAUUCUUUAUUUGGCAAUUCAGAGAUUUCUUCUUGGUUUGCAUCCAUUGCUGGAGAGCUAGUGUGAUCUUUUUGGGGUGUUAUAGAACCUUGAUUUGUCAUAUUACCAGAAUUACUUUUCUGAUUUUUUUUUAUUUGUGUAGACUGUUUCAGUGAAAAGAUCUGGAACUCAAGGGUGGUUGUUCAGAUUUUUUUCCCCCACAGGGUGAUCCUUUGAUGUGGUAUUCUCCUCCUUUUUCUAGGGAUGGAGCUUCCUGAGAGCCAGACUUCAGUGAUUGUUAUUGUCCUUCUGGGUCUAGCUACCCAGCAGUGCUACCAGCCUCCAUGGUGGUACUGGGGAUGUCUGCAGAGUCCUGUGGUGUGAUUUGUCUUCGAGUCUCCCACCCGUGGAUAACAGCACCUGCUUCAGUGGAGGUGGCAGGGGAGUGAAGCAGACUCUGUGGGAGUCCUUGGUUGUAGUUUUGUUUAGUGCCCUGGCUUUAUUGAAUGCUGGUUAUGCUAGGAGUGAAGCUGAUUGGGGACACAGCUCUGGUUAGCUUCUUUGGAGCAGGAUUGUUCUCGUAUGAGUUGCUGUAAUAGCUUGAGUUGGUUGGCCUUCAACUGGCAGGUGGCACUUGGAAGAGAGCACCAGCUGUGGUAGAAGAAAGGGGAUAUAAGCUUGCCCUAGAUUGGCCAGGAUAAGUACUCGGGUUUCUUAGGUGAUGGGUGGGGCCAUAGAGCUCCCAAGAGUUUAUGUCAUUUGUCUUUGGCUAUCGGGGUGGGUAGAGAAAAACCAUCAGGUGAGGGCACAGUUAGGUGGGUCUGAGCUCAGACUCUCCUUGGAUGGUGCUUGCUGCUGCCACUGUGGCAGAUGGGGGUGUGGUUCCCAGGCCAGUGGAGUUAUGUUCUUAGGGGGAUUAUGGCUGCCUCUGCUACAUCAUAAAGGUUGCCUGGAAGUGGAGGAAAGCUGGCAGUGACAGGCUUCACCCAGCUCCCACGCAGCCAGCAAGGCCAUCUCACUCUCGCUGUGCCCCACUCACAGCACUGAGUUUACAUCCAGGCAGCCGCAAGCAGGGCUGAAAUCUUGCCCCAGGCUACAAGCCUCCCCACUGAGAAAGCAAGCAUGGCUCCCAGGCCUCACCUCUCCCCACCUGCCUGCACCUUUGGCUGCAACUUCUAUGCUGGUAUCUGCACUUCCUGUUUGCUCCCCCACCCCAAUUCUGCUCAAGAAAAUUUUUGCUCAGUGGAAAUUAUUGUCAGUUCAAUUAGGAGUGUCCUUCACUCUGUGCCCCUCCCGAGUUUUGCUGGCUGCCUUCCCCAAGGAUCCCUGUGAGACAUGGCCAGGAAUGGCUUCCCUGGUCUUAAGCUGGGGACAGGGAGUGCCUACAGGGCUCUCCCUGCUGCUUCUUCUACUUGUAUAUUUCACUUAGCUACCUAAAUCCAUUUCAGCUAUAGGUAAGGUCAGAUCCUUCUUUCAUGACCUGCAUUUUCAGGUUCCCCAGUGAGGAUGUGUGUUCAGAGGCUGACUUUUCCCCUUCUCACACUUUGGGAGCUCACAGGUUUUCAGCCAUCUCAUGGAGUUUGCAGCAGCAAGAUGCUGCUUUCAAAGGGUCUGUGAAUUCUUUUCUGAAGUUGUUCUUGGAGCAAAAGUUCACAGUGUGAUUUUCUACACACUAUUCUGUCCAUCCAAGUGGGACCUGCAGGUUGGUCCUGUCUCCAAUCCACCCUUUUCCUCUGACUCCCUGAAAUUUCCAUCUUUUUAGAUAGAAAUUUCGGGACUAAGAUUAUCUCCAUUUUUUAAAAAUGUUUCUCACCCAGGAUUUAGAUUUAGAUUUUUCUUAAAAGAUUUGCAGUUUGCUUAAGUGAGUGCAUCUUAUUUAUUUUUAGUCCAUUUCUAUAAAUUUAAUAACUACUUUUUCCUAUUGUGAUUGUAAUCUUCUUUUGUGAUUUGUUAUGGCAAAGUAAGGAAAGCUAUUGAUAUUUUGAAUACUUGCUUUAUCUGCAGUCAUGGUCAUGUUAGUCUUUUCGCAUGAGUUUAAAAAUGCUUCAUCUUUUUCUGUAUUCUUAAAAUUAAAGUAAUGUAUGAUUUCUUUCUUGAACUCUGGUAGAACUCAGGAAUAAAAUGGAUUAAGCUUGAUGUUCCUUUUUAGGAUACAUCUUAAAUUUUUAAAAGUAAAAAGAAGAGUGUUUAUGAUAAUUUUAAACUUAUUAAAUUUGGAAAAUGCCAAAACACAUCUAAUUAUUUUCUUAUUCAUUCUAUUUAUAAGGCAAAAGAGCAAAAUUUUGUGCCACCCAGUGGUCAUUUCAGCAAAUCCAAUGAUAUUAUAAGCAUAAAAGACAUUUGGGUGAUUUUACUUUUGAAAAUUUAGGGCCAAAUACAGGAAACACAAAGUUAAGAAUAAUUGUUAGGUGGGGCAGUCAUGAUAUAAGUCAUAGUUGCAUAAACAAAAAGCAGUUAUUAUGAGUAAUAUUUCAAAAUAAUCAGUAGCAAUGAUCUUUACUCAUUUUAGAAAGUAAAAAACAUAUUUUUCAAAGCCAUUUAAGAGAUUAUCAGAAGUCAACAGAGUUGCCAUACUAUUUUGUUGUUAAAUGGGGAUCUCUUUUAUCUGAGCACAUAAUAGUUUGGUCACAAUACAAAAGAAAACCCCAAGUCUACAUCUACUCAUUUUAUAUAUACUUCAUAUAAUAAUUUUUAGUUAAGGUUUUAUAAAUCAGACUAUUAGAAAUGAAUAAAAUCACUAACAUUGAGCUUUCCAUAUUUCUUAUUCAUCUACACAGAAAUUACAAAAUUUAUUUUAGUAGACAAUUAUAUAUGUUCAGACAUGUAUAAACUCAUAAGAACGUAAGUGGAUAAUGAAUUUAAAAGUUGGAUUUUAAUUUUAAGAUAUGAUUCAUCUUACCUGAAUUUAAAUAAAAAUACAUUGUUAUGUUUAAAUUACUCCCUUUAGUAAACCAUCUUCUUUUACCAUUACCUUUGACUGUUUACAUAUUAAAGUUUUGUAAUUAGUAUACAACUAUAUUCUUAAUUAUUUAUGUUAAUUACCACCUUUAUUUAAAACAACUAACUCUUGUUUUCUUCAGUCACAGAGAAAACUCGAAAGAAGACAGGAAUCCAAGGAUUGCCUAGAUGAUAAUUUACAAGUACACACUUUAGAUUACCUUAUUGAUGUUAAGAUAACAAAACAAGUAUGUAUUAAAAAUCAGCCAAACCUUUGGACAUUCUGCGAAUAUAUAAAUCAUUUGAUAAUGCAUAAGAAUAGGAAAAAAUUGAAAUGUGUUCAUGACUAAAGUUUUAUAUUUGUGGUAAUGUUAAAAUGUAUUAUUAAAUAUGUUAAAAUUAUUUCAUUUUUUUCCCCUUUGAGAGGUAAAGCCUAAUACUUCUCCCCUUGAAUAUGGGCUAGACUUAUGAGCACAUUUCUAAUGAACAGAGAAAGUGGAUGUGGAUGUGACAAUGUGUAUGUUGGAAGACUAGACAAUAUCAGAGAUGAACAUGAUGGUGAAAGAAAAUAAAAGAAGAAAGCUAGUUAAUAAAAGGCACCAUUGUUUCCUCCUCUUCCUCCUCCUCCACCUCUUUAACUCUCUCUCCCUCUCUCUGAUCAACAGCUCUAGCAAAAGCCAGCUGCUAUGCGGUGCGGACUUUCAGGCAGCUUUGCAGGGAGAUACAUGUGGCAAGGAACUGACAGGCCUUCAGCCAAAGGCACAUGACUGAGUCAUCUUGGAAGUGAACGCUCCACCUGCGAGAUGACUGUAGCCCUGGCUGACAUCUUGACUGCAACCUGCAAGACUUUAGGAGGCUCCAGAAACCAGCAGUAACCCAGGCCAGUGCAAAACCAAGAACAGCUGCAUUCGAAUGGGGAAAGAGAACAACCACCACGUUUUGCUCAACCUGGGACGUAUGCAUCUCGAUGGAAGGCUCUUGAAGAAAUGGAAAAGCAGCAGCGUGAGCAGGUUGAUAGAAACAUCAGAGAAGCCAAAGAGAAACUGGAGGCAGAAAUGGAAGCAGCUAGGCAUGAACACCAAUUAAUGCUAAUGAGGCAAGUCAUUAUUUUGUAGAUCUAAUGAGGCAUCAAGAAGAACUCAGAUGCUUGGAAGAACUCAGAAAUCAAGAGUUGCAGAGGGUGGAGCCAAGAUGGCCGAAUAGGAACAGCUCCAUUCUACAGCUCCCAGCAUGAGCGACGCAGAAGAUGAAUGAUUUCUGCAUUUCCAACUGAGCAAUACGUUGAAGUUCUUGUUGUAUCGCAUCUUGGCCAGCAUUUGUUUUUGUCGGUGUUUCGGAUCGUCACCAUUCUAAGAGAACAGGAAAUGAGAAUGGGUGAUAUGGGUCCCUGUGGAGCAAUAAACAUGGGAGAUGCGUUUAGCCCAGCCCCUGCUGGUAACCAAGGUCCUCCUCCAAUGACGGGUAUGAAUAUGAACAACAGAGCAACUAUACCUGGCCCACCAAUGGGUCCUGGUCCUGCCAUGGGACCAGAAGGAGCCGCAAAUAUGGGAACUCCAAUGAUGCCAGAUAAUGGAGCAGUGCACAAUGACAGAUUUCCUCAAGGACCACCAUCUCAGAUGGGUUCACCUAUGGGGAGUAGAACAGGUUCUGAAACCCCUCAAGCACCAAUGAGUGGCGUAGGUCCUGUGAGUGGUGGUCCUGGUGGCUUUGGUAGAGGAAGUCAAGGGGGCAACUUUGAAGGCCCUAAUAAGCGUCGUAGAUAUUAAACAUUCGUUCAUUCCUGGCUAUCCAGAAAAAAAAAGUCAGUGGUAUGCCUUUAUACUUUUACCUGUUAUCUGGAAGAAAUGGUUUUAUUGUUAAUGUAUGUAGACUUAAAAGUUUUUUUUUUUUGUAAAACUUGAGGUUUUUGUAUUUUUCUUUAUUCAUGAGCUUUGUAGAUUAGAAUGGUAAUGAUGCUCAUCAUUUUGAAUGUUGAAAUGUGUUUGUGACUUUAGCUAAAUAUAAGUAUUCCAUAGUACUGUGAAAUCUAUGUAGUUACUUAAUCUCAAUAAAGAAAUCAUUUUGGAUAAUUUAAAA
Homo sapiens (human) is the source of this 5443-nucleotide long non-coding RNA. RefSeq lists it as uncharacterized. The record is from RefSeq and is a predicted model, not a curated record. Lineage: Eukaryota; Metazoa; Chordata; Mammalia; Primates; Hominidae. The transcript is spliced from 7 exons.